UUUAAAUGGCGCAAACUAAUGUCACCUUUAUAGUUUCAACUGUUCAACAUAAAUUACCAUUUGGUCCAUUUUACUCGAAAACAUUAUAUGCAUAGAGAGAAUAUACUGAGAGAAUUUAGAAACAAGAUCACAAGUAAAAUUGGUAGGACAGAGUGGAGAUAGAAGGAAGGUACUAGAAAAUCGAACAGAGUUUACAAAAGCAGAAAGUCAAAUCUCUUAACAACUAGCAAAUUUGCUACAAGAUCUAUGUAUCACAUACACCGGCUAGCAAAUUUGCUACAAGAUAUAUGUUUCACAUACACCAGAUAGAUUAUAUAAUGCUCAUUGUGCCUUCUAUGCACCCACCUGAUGCCAAAAAGCCAGAGUUAUGAGUAGACCUGUACGACAGGUGACCUAAUACAGAUUGUGUACAUGCAGGGUGAGAUAAGAGAGUUGAAGAAGAGAGUUGACGAAUUUGAGCAUAUGUAUAAUGAAGUUCAAAACGAGAGCAAAGCCAGACUUACAGAGGUAGAGGAAUCACAGCUGAAAGUGGCUCAGCUACAAGAUACCCUAGAAAGGUAUUUAUACAGGAUAUAUAUUAACAAAUAGAAAUAGUUGCAGGUUCAACGUCCUUACUCUAAUUAUUUCAUGUAUAUGCAUGUAUAUGCUCUAUGCUCAUGCUCAGGUUAGAACUGAAUGUCUCCAACCUCGAAUCUGAGAACCAGGUUCUACGCCAGCAGGCUUUAGUUGCAUCAACUAAUGAGGACCUCUCUGAAGAAAUUGAAUGGUAAGAAUAUGCUUUAAUAUUUAUUAAAUUAACUUUUAGUGGCCGUUAAUAGAAAGUUGUUCUACUAGUCUGGUUCUUACAAAACACUGUUGAAACUGAAGAAAGGUAAAAACCUAACCAAGAACCAAAAUUUGAUUUCACUUGGCUAUUCUUUUUUCCCUAUACAAAACAAAUUCAAACAGUUUAAUACCCUGAGAUCGUGGCAAGAAGGUUCUUCACGUAAUGCCUUAAUGGGAUAAAAGAAAAAUUAUUAUAAAGACCUGCUUCUCAUCUCAUUGUGUUCACUAAGAUACUUUGCAGUAACAAACAAAAUGAACUUUGACUUAUUAAAUUUAGAUGUUUACUUAUGAAUAAGUUCUCUUUUGAAUACCUUGCCCACCUAAAAAAUAGUUUAGUUGAUAAUAAUUUCAACAGUGAAAACUUAGGAACAACCCAUGGUAAUAAAAAUUAUUAAGCAAGUCAGUUUUGAAUUAUUUCAAAUAUUGAAUUCAUAAAAUAAAUUUGCAACUCAAGCUCAAACCUGAGCAGGGAAGUGACAUAUCAGGUCUUUAUUUUGAAACUACUCACAACUGUAAAAAUUCUGAAAGAUAUUUCUUCUCUAUCAGUUUCAAAAGCAAGGUUAAAAGUCUGGAGUCAGAAAAUGAGUUUCUUCGAAGCCAGAAAGUAGUUGUGGAGCAAAUAGCCUCUGAAAGGGCACCGUCACAAUUAAAGGUAGACCUCCUUUGACUUUUGAAAUAUUCUUUACUGUCAAAUACUAUGCAAUCAGAACUAACCCUUUAAGAAUGCAGAGUUUGGAUAAUGGACACCCAACAGAGGAAGAGCACCAAAAAACAAAAGUAGAGGAGCAAACAACAAAAGCAGAGGAACAAACAACAAAAGUAAAUCUAAGUAUUUAUACAUAUAUUACAUCACAAAUAAGAUAUAUCUUAUUACUUCCUUGCACAAAUUUCCAUAAGGAACAUGCACUAAUACAAUCUAAGUAUUUAUAUCUUAUUACAUCACAAAUAAAUUUUACUUGCAGGAGUCGACCAAUGUGGCCUCAUUCCUAACAAAACAAAGAUCCCUAACAGACAGGCAGCAGGUAUGUACUUGAAAUUGAGAAACUAUUUUCUACAUUUUGAUUUCCAAAAAUUUUAAUAAACACCUCUUAUUUUUCCUAUAUGCAGGAAAACCAUGAUGUACUAAUCAAGUGCCUCGUGGAAGAUAAGAGGUUCGACAAGAGCAGACCUCUUGCAGCUUGUAUCGUGUAUAAAACACUUCUUCAGUGGAGAUCCUUUGAAGCUGAUAAGACAAAUAUUUUUGAUAGGAUAAUUCACACAAUUCGAUCAUCUAUUGAGGUAAUAUUCUGACACUAUUUAAUGUUAGAAGUGAUCCACAAGUGACCAGCGACGGGUCCCUGCGGAUAUUCUAAACCAUGGCGCUUUUUGAUAAGUGAAACUAAUCUUCCUUUUAAUCCAUUGAAGAUUCAAGAUAACGUGAAAGAUCUGGCAUAUUGGCUCUCAACGACUUCUACCCUUUUGUUCCUUCUACAAAGUACAAUCAAGGCAAGCAAUACACUAAAUACAGCUUCACAACGUCACCGAGCCUCACCCACGACCUUGUUCAGUAGAAUGGCACAAGUAAGCUCUUUGGGGUAUAAAUUUAUUACCACAAAAAUACAUGGACUAUUUUGUUAACGAGUCUAACAAUUUGUAUCAGGGUUUUCGUGCAUCCUCGAUGGGCAUGGGAAUUUCCAGUGGUUACAGUGGAAUGGAGGGAAAGCCAAAAGCACAAUCAAAAAUUGAAGCCAAAUACCCAGCUCUUCUUUUUAAGCAGCAUCUAACGGCUUGUGUUGAGAAAAUAUAUGGACUGAUCCGUGAUAGCUUAAAGAAAGAGAUUAGUCCAUUCCUCAACUUAUGUAUACAAGUAAGCAUAUACAUAAGCUAGCCUCUCAUUUUGAAAUCUUACACCAAGUCUUCAACUAAAACCUCAAGUGCCAUUUACAGGCACCUAGAUCUACAAGGGCCAGAUCAAUAAGAGGGUCAUCUAAGAAUAUCCAUUCAAAUAUAGUGGCAAAACAGCAGGCAUCAAGCAUACACUGGCAAAGUAUUGUCAGCAGCUUGGAUCAAACAUUGAAAAUACUGUCUGAAAAUUAUGUAAGCGGAAAUAUACAUUCUAUACUCUUCCUGAAUUAACGUAUCAAAGAUCUACCCUGUUUUUCUUGUCUAAUGACCGUAUAUUCAGGUGUCUUCUGUUAUCACAAGAAAAAUCUACAGUCAGGUAUUCUCAUUCAUAAAUGUCCAGCUUUUUAAUAGGUAACAUAAUCUCUUCCUAAUCUUGAAAGCACAAACAAAUAUCGUAUAUUGUUUCAAGAAUGAUUACACUUGUGCUAUAUUAAGUCACAUAUUCAAAUACCAAGCAUUCUGUGGUUCUGCAGCUUAUUACUUCGCCGUGAAUGCUGCUCCUUCAGCAAUGGAGAAUAUGUAAAGGCUGGUUUGCAAGAACUUGAGCAAUGGUGUGUGAAAGCAGCAGAUCAGGUAUUUGACUAUAUCGAAAACCAUUUUAAGACUAGUUUAUGAUAGAAUCAAGAUGAGAUGGUAAUGAGAAAACCUAACUUGAAUUUUUCAUGAAACAGUUUGCUUGUUUUUUUGGGGUAGGCUAGUAUUCUCUCUCUUCUAUCAAUAAAUUUUGUUUUUUAUCUAAAAAAACAGUUAGCUGGAUCGUCAUGGGAUGAACUUCAACACAUAAGGCAAGCUGUAGGAUUUCUGGUAUGAUGUUUUCAACCCAUUUCACUUGGAAAAUUAAUUUUGAAUAGGGAUUGAGAAUUAAUACAAUUAUUAUUCAAUUAUGCAGGUAAUGCAUCAGAAGCCUCAAAAAUCACUGGCGGAGAUUACGAAUGAACUUUGCCCGGUAACUUGCUUGGCUAUAUAUUAAAACUAGUUUCCCCAACUUUCUCUCGGGAUAAGAUCCUUGAAGAACAUUUCAACUGAAAUUAUAAUAAUAGUAAGAUGAAGAACAGAUCAACAGUGAAUAUAAACCUUUUGUGUUUUCUUCUGAUUUAGAUGUUGAGCAUUCCACAAAUAUAUCGCAUUGGAACUAUGUUCUGUGAUGACAAAUAUGGGACACAAGGAUUAUCUCCUGAGGUAAAUGUUACCCAUUAUUUCAAUAUUAAUAUAAUAAUAGUCCAAUACUCAAACUUUAAAAAAUUACAUAACCUCUAGUACACUUCACAUAAGACUCUUAACAAGCCUUGAACAUACAUGUUUUUUUAAGGUGAGGCUCAAAACAAUAUGAUAAUACCGUCUUAUCUUAACUUUGUAAGAAAGAUUCUCUAACGUUUAUCUCAAGUCUGUCAAAUGUUGGGUUUCAGGUAAUUGGCAAGAUGAGAGCACUAAUGGCAGAAGAUUCAAUCAACAUACCAAACAACUCAUUCUUGCUUGAUGUGGAUUCAAGGUAAUCAACUUGAAAUGGAACACCCAACACUUUAUUAAAUAAACUUGAUCAUAGUACUAAUGAACUCAAAAAUUUACAGCAUACCUUUCUCUAUGGAAGAAAUAUCCCGCUCCUUUCUAGAUAUCAGCCUGUCUGAUGUGGAUCCACCACCUCUCCUUCGUCAGAGAUCAGAUUUUCAUUUCCUGUUGCAGCAAACAGAUUGAGUCUUACAAGUUUUGAUCUAGUUUUACACAUUUAUGAACAGGAAAUGCUAUUGUAAUUAAUUGAUUCAAGUUCCCAGUUUGUUUUUUGGGGAGGUGAGAGAGUGAGGGAAUGAGUGCUCAGAUUGUAAAGGUUUUUUUUGUCUGUCCUUGAAUCAGGAAAAUUACAUUUUUUUCAUUGAAACAGCACUCGUGGAAUUGAUGUAUCAUUGAUAUACAGAGAAUGAAAGGUAAAAUAAAAAAGUCCUAGUAGAAGUGCGGAGAAAUGAUCGUCCUGUAUUUUGAGAAAUGUAUUCAUUUUCUUAUUCCAUCCUAGCUAGCAUCUUCACUCGUGGGAUAUAUAAAUUCAAGUUUUUUGCGAUAUCCCUCUAUGGUGUUCCCCCAGCCUUUACAAUACCCAUCCAUCGGUCAGGAGAGCAUCCUCCAACAGUUGUAUUAAAGCAUACUAUUAGACCUAAACAAUCAAGGAUAUCUGCUAAAACCUGGUAGAACAGUGAUUUUGAAAUGUUUCCAUACUGGAUCUGAUUUUUACCCAAGAUUAUAAUAACCUUAUACAACAGAAUAAUCAUUUCUAAAUGUGUGCUGAAGCAAUCUAUAAAACAUAGCUGAAACAGACCAAAUGGCAAUAUCUGAAUGCUAAUGCAGGCACAUACCAAGAAAUGAUUAAAAAGGGCAGCAUUUGUGAGGAGAAUUGGGCAUUUCUUGCUGCUCAACAUUUUCAAUAAUUUAAUCCUCUUCAAUGAACAAGGAUUCUGUCAAUUAUUUGCAUUCCAUAACGCACAGUUUAUUACUCCCUCCGUUCCUAAAAGCUUGUCGUUUUAGGAAGUAAUUUUUGUUCCAAAAAUAUUGUUGUUUUGAGUUUAUCAAUACACAUUAGUUAUUUUUCCCUACUUUACCCUUAUUUAAAGUUUUCUCCUAUUUAAAGCUUUCUUCCUUCCCAAUAAUUCUUAUUCAAUUCAAUGCUAUAAUCCAAGUAGUAAUUGGUGGAAUUGAAUAAGAAACAUUGGAAAGAGAAUAAUUGGUUGAGAAAAUUAAUAAGGGUAGUAUAGUAUUUUGGCUAGGUAUUAAUUAUAUUCCUUAAUCUGUGUGCAUUACCUUUAAACGACAAUCUUAUUACCUUUAAACGACAAUCUUAUAGGAACAGAGGGAGUACAUAAUAGGUGUGCAAAACAACAAAUGUUUAUGUUCAAUCCUUCUUCGGGAUCUGCUCUAUUGGCAUCAGCUAUUGGCUGUCUUCAUUAGACUUCGUAUGCACAAUUGCAAUCCAUUAAUAUCAAUGCAUAUCCAUGACAUAUAAUGCAUGCAUCAAGAUAUAAAUUAUUGUAUUAAUGAACUGAAUUACCUAUGCUCAACUCCAUUUUCGAAUGAAUUAAACUUUCCCCACCAGUUUUCCUGCAACUUUAUUGCUCUCCAUUUCUCCAAACAAUAAGCAUUUCAGCUCGCACACCAACUUUUGUAGUUUACAUAUCGAAUUCCUAACAAGUGCAAGAAAGAUUAAUUUUUCUUUCUUUUCCAUUUCCUUCGCUUCAUUUUGUAGUUCCGUUUACAGAGAUACACGAACAGAAAAUUUGUGUUUGAAUCUG
RNAcentral lists this long non-coding RNA (5981 nucleotides) under Panax ginseng (ginseng). Its description in RNAcentral is "long non-coding RNA (PGIN_LNC011884)". Lineage: Eukaryota; Viridiplantae; Streptophyta; Magnoliopsida; Apiales; Araliaceae. The record is from RNAcentral.